GGGGAUUUUAACUUAAUAAAAGUAUCUGAGUUGCAUUUAGAAUAUGUAGGUUAAUAUCCUACAAAUCCUA
Molecule: transfer RNA, 70 nt
Filed under: Oophaga pumilio (strawberry poison frog)
Lineage: Eukaryota; Metazoa; Chordata; Amphibia; Anura; Dendrobatidae
Description: tRNA-Ala
Rfam family: tRNA
About the family: Transfer RNA (tRNA) molecules are approximately 80 nucleotides in length. Their secondary structure includes four short double-helical elements and three loops (D, anti-codon, and T loops).
Source: RNAcentral